UCCUACGGGAGGCAGCAGUGGGGAAUAUUGCACAAUGGGCGCAAGCCUGAUGCAGCCAUGCCGCGUGUAUGAAGAAGGCCUUCGGGUUGUAAAGUACUUUCAGCGAGGAGGAAGGCGAUUGAAGGGUAAUUAACUCAGCGAUGACGUACUCGCAGAA
This 157-nucleotide ribosomal RNA is filed under the name Klebsiella aerogenes. Its description in RNAcentral is "partial 16S ribosomal RNA". It matches the Rfam family "Bacterial small subunit ribosomal RNA", at positions 337 to 486 of the family's 1533-position model. The record is from RNAcentral. Lineage: Bacteria; Pseudomonadati; Pseudomonadota; Gammaproteobacteria; Enterobacterales; Enterobacteriaceae.